AUCCAUCUGACGAGUCCAAGAUAGGAUGAAACGCGCGUCCUGAAU
This 45-nucleotide non-coding RNA is filed under the name Schistosoma curassoni. The record is from RNAcentral. Lineage: Eukaryota; Metazoa; Platyhelminthes; Trematoda; Strigeidida; Schistosomatidae.